AGUGAACGCUGGCGGUAGGCCUAACACAUGCAAGUCGAACGGAUCCUUCGGGAUUAGUGGCGGACGGGUGAGUAACACGUGGGAACGUGCCCUUUGGUUCGGAACAACCCAGGGAAACUUGAGCUAAUACCGGAUGUGCCCUUCGGGGGAAAGAUUUAUCGCCAUUGGAGCGGCCCGCGUCUGAUUAGCUAGUUGGUGGGGUAAAGGCCCACCAAGGCGACGAUCAGUAGCUGGUCUGAGAGGAUGAUCAGCCACAUUGGGACUGAGACACGGCCCAAACUCCUACGGGAGGCAGCAGUGGGGAAUCUUGCGCAAUGGGCGAAAGCCUGACGCAGCCAUGCCGCGUGAAUGAUGAAGGUCUUAGGAUUGUAAAAUUCUUUCACCGGGGACGAUAAUGACGGUACCCGGAGAAGAAGCCCCGGCUAACUUCGUGCCAGCAGCCGCCGUAA
This 449-nucleotide ribosomal RNA is filed under the name uncultured bacterium. RNAcentral describes it as "partial 16S ribosomal RNA". It matches the Rfam family "Bacterial small subunit ribosomal RNA", at positions 29 to 523 of the family's 1533-position model. The record is from RNAcentral.